RNAcentral lists this transfer RNA (72 nucleotides) under Phycisphaerales bacterium. RNAcentral's name for it is "tRNA-Gly". It matches the Rfam family "tRNA". Rfam says of the family: Transfer RNA (tRNA) molecules are approximately 80 nucleotides in length. Their secondary structure includes four short double-helical elements and three loops (D, anti-codon, and T loops). Lineage: Bacteria; Pseudomonadati; Planctomycetota; Phycisphaerae; Phycisphaerales. The record is from RNAcentral.
GCGGGUGUAGCUCAGUGGUAGAGCGUCACGUUGCCAACGUGAAUGUCGUCAGUUCAAAUCUGAUCACCCGCU